CUCCCUGAUGUUAGCGGCGGACGGGUGAGUAACACGUGGGUAACCUGCCUGUAAGACUGGGAUAACUCCGGGAAACCGGGGCUAAUACCGGAUGGUUGUUUGAACCGCAUGGUUCAAACAUAAAAGGUGGCUUCGGCUACCACUUACAGAUGGACCCGCGGCGCAUUAGCUAGUUGGUGAGGUAACGGCUCACCAAGGCGACGAUGCGUAGCCGACCUGAGAGGGUGAUCGGCCACACUGGGACUGAGACACGGCCCAGACUCCUACGGGAGGCAGCAGUAGGGAAUCUUCCGCAAUGGACGAAAGUCUGACGGAGCAACGCCGCGUGAGUGAUGAAGGUUUUCGGAUCGUAAAGCUCUGUUGUUAGGGAAGAACAAGUACCGUUCGAAUAGGGCGGUACCUUGACGGUACCUAACCAGAAAGCCACGGCUAACUACGUGCCAGCAGCCGCGGUAAUACGUAGGUGGCAAGCGUUGUCCGGAAUUAUUGGGCGUAAAGGGCUCGCAGGCGGUUUCUUAAGUCUGAUGUGAAAGCCCCCGGCUCAACCGGGGAGGGUCAUUGGAAACUGGGGAACUUGAGUGCAGAAGAGGAGAGUGGAAUUCCACGU
Molecule: ribosomal RNA, 607 nt
Filed under: Bacillus subtilis
Lineage: Bacteria; Bacillati; Bacillota; Bacilli; Caryophanales; Bacillaceae
Description: bacterial SSU rRNA
Rfam family: Bacterial small subunit ribosomal RNA
Source: RNAcentral